AAACUUUCAACAACGGAUCUCUUGGUUCUGGCAUCGAUGAAGAACGCAGCGAAAUGCGAUAAGUAAUGCGAAUUGCAGAAUUCCGUGAGUCAUCGAAUCUUUGAACGCACAUUGCGCCCUUUGGUAUUCCGAAGGGCAUGCCUGUCCGAGCGUCAUU
RNAcentral lists this ribosomal RNA (157 nucleotides) under unidentified. Its description in RNAcentral is "Verrucaria sanrikuensis 5.8S ribosomal RNA". It matches the Rfam family "5.8S ribosomal RNA". Rfam says of the family: 5.8S ribosomal RNA (5.8S rRNA) is a component of the large subunit of the eukaryotic ribosome. The record is from RNAcentral.